UCGGGUGUGGUGCACGGUGCACGGCAGUCUUCUUUGAGACGGUACAUUUUAAGUACUAACUGCAGACCGGGGUUCGACUCCCCGCACCCGAC
Molecule: non-coding RNA, 92 nt
Organism: Mycena latifolia
Lineage: Eukaryota; Fungi; Basidiomycota; Agaricomycetes; Agaricales; Mycenaceae
Source: the annotation of a GenBank genome assembly